ACAUCGGUAGUUUAAUGGUAAAACCUACGUCUCCAAAACGUAAUUUGUAGGUUCGAUUCCUACCCGAUGUGCCA
This 74-nucleotide transfer RNA is filed under the name Emticicia sp. C21. Its description in RNAcentral is "tRNA-Trp". It matches the Rfam family "tRNA". Rfam says of the family: Transfer RNA (tRNA) molecules are approximately 80 nucleotides in length. Their secondary structure includes four short double-helical elements and three loops (D, anti-codon, and T loops). The record is from RNAcentral. Lineage: Bacteria; Pseudomonadati; Bacteroidota; Cytophagia; Cytophagales; Leadbetterellaceae.